UGGGGAAUAUUGCACAAUGGGCGCAAGCCUGAUGCAGCCAUGCCGCGUGUAUGAAGAAGGCCUUCGGGUUGUAAAGUACUUUCAGCGGGGAGGAAGGGAGUAAAGUUAAUACCUUUGCUCAUUGACGUUACCCGCAGAAGAAGCACCGGCUAACUCCGUGCCAGCAGCCGCGGUAAUACGGAGGGUGCAAGCGUUAAUCGGAAUUACUGGGCGUAAAGCGCACGCAGGCGGUUUGUUAAGACAGAUGUGAAAUCCUCGGGCUCAACCUGGGAACUGCAUCUGAUACUGGCAAGCUUGAGUCUCGUAGAGGGGGGUAGAAUUCCAGGUGUAGCGGUGAAAUGCGUAGAGAUCUGGAGGAAUACCGGUGGCGAAGGCGGCCCCCUGGACGAAGACUGACGCUCAGGUGCGAAAGCGUGGGGAGCAAACAGG
Molecule: ribosomal RNA, 429 nt
Filed under: Chloroflexota bacterium
Lineage: Bacteria; Bacillati; Chloroflexota
Description: Chloroflexi bacterium partial 16S ribosomal RNA
Rfam family: Bacterial small subunit ribosomal RNA
Source: RNAcentral